Molecule: non-coding RNA, 1434 nt
Filed under: Cladonia ravenelii
Lineage: Eukaryota; Fungi; Ascomycota; Lecanoromycetes; Lecanorales; Cladoniaceae
Description: SSU rRNA
Rfam family: Bacterial small subunit ribosomal RNA
Source: RNAcentral
AAAUAAGUUGAGUUUGAUGAUGGCUCUGAGUGAACGCUGUCCAAAUGCUUGACACAUGCUAAUCGUACGACUUCGCUCAUAAAAAAAAAGAGCGAAGCAGUGGUGUACAGGUGAGUAUAAGAUAACGUGACUGCCUUGGAGUAAGGAGAAAGAUCCCUUAUAAUAAUAAAGAAACUAAGGUUUCGCUCUUAGAAGCAUGUAUCUCGUGUAGUUGUAGUAGUUAAAGUAGUGGUUUAACUAGCCUUAUACACGUAGUCGAAACUGAAAGGUUGAUCGAUCACAGUGGGACUGAACAAAUCCCACGAUUAUUAUCACAGCAGUGAGGAAUAUUGGUCAAUAGCCUAACGGCUGAACCAGCAAUUUGGAAGAAUGUAUAGCAAUAGCUGAUUGCACCAACAAACAGUUGAUGCAAAAUUGAUUAUAUCAAAUAAAAUUCUAGGUAGAUUUUUGAUAAUGACAUUGCUUACCUAAGUCUUGACCAAAUUACGUGCCAGCAGUCGCGGUAAUACGUAAAAGACUAGUGUUAUUCAUCUUUAAUUGGUUUAAAGGGUACCUAGACAGCGAAUAAAGCCAUAGUAGGGACUAAUUCGCUAGAGUUACUUAUGAGGGGGUAUUAAAGUACUGCAGGUGUAGAGAUGAAAUUUUGUUAUACCUCUUUUCGUAUGAGAAACUAUGGCACAGGUAUAGGUGAAAGCAUCCCCUUAUGUGAUAACUGACGUUGAGGGACGAAGGCUUUGUGUCGCGAACAGGAUUAGAUACCCCAGUAGUCAAAGCAGAAAAUGAUGAAUGUCAUAGAUUAGAUAUACAAUUUAUUCUAUAAAUGAAAGUGUAAGCAUUCCACCUCAAGAGUAAUUUGGCAACAUUGGAACUGAAAUCAUUAGACCGUUUCUGAAACCAGUAGUGAAGUAUGUUUAUUUACAAGCGUUGCACGGCUGUCUUCAGUUAAUGUCGUGAGAUUUUGGUUAGUUCCAUUAAAUUAACGUAAACCCUUACUUUAUUUUUAUAUAAAGUAGUUCCCCGCUAUAUUGGAUAUGAUAACAGGGACUAAGACAAGUCAUCAUGGCCUGAAUAUUGUGGGCUAUAGACGUGCCACAUAAACCUUACAAAAGGAUGUGAAAUUGUGAAAUUGAGCUAAUCCUCCAAAAAUGGAUAAACAUUUAAUGGAUUGCAGUCUGUAACUCGACUGCGUGAAAAAGGAAUUACUAGUAAUCGUGUAUAAGUACGGCACGGUGAAUAUAAUCUCAGAUAGGUACUAACUACUCGUCAGGCGCUGAAAAAAGUAUGUGCAAUAAGUUUGGCUAGUGCUUAUUUUUAUUUUGGGCGAUCUUGUCCAAAAACUUAGGCAUGUUGUCUUCGUAUGCGUGACUUUGAUUGGUGUUAAGUCGAAAUACGGUUCGUGUAGUGGAAAUUGCACGGGAUUUAUGUAUAUUAAAA